Molecule: transfer RNA, 134 nt
Filed under: Rasamsonia emersonii
Lineage: Eukaryota; Fungi; Ascomycota; Eurotiomycetes; Eurotiales; Trichocomaceae
Also listed under: 1 other name
Description: tRNA-Leu
Rfam family: tRNA
About the family: Transfer RNA (tRNA) molecules are approximately 80 nucleotides in length.
Source: RNAcentral
GGCAAGGUGGCCGAGCGGUCCAAGGCGCACGGUUCAGGUAUUGACUGAGCCCGAAAAGCUUCACUGUCUACUAGACUAGGUAGUGGAGUGUCCGUGUCUCGAAAGGGGCGUGGGUUCGAAUCCCACCCUUGUCA